This 340-nucleotide ribosomal RNA is filed under the name uncultured cyanobacterium. RNAcentral's name for it is "bacterial SSU rRNA". It matches the Rfam family "Bacterial small subunit ribosomal RNA", at positions 393 to 751 of the family's 1533-position model. The record is from RNAcentral. Lineage: Bacteria; Bacillati; Cyanobacteriota.
AACGCCGCGUGAGGGAGGAUGUCUUUGGAUUGUAAACCUCUUUUCUCAAGGAAGAUAAUGACGGAACUUGAGGAAUCAGCAUCGGCUAACUCCGUGCCAGCAGCCGCGGUAAUACGGGGGAUGCAAGCGUUAUCCGGAAUUAUUGGGCGUAAAGCGUCCGUAGGCGGCUAUCCAAGUCUGCUGUUAAAGAGUGCAGCUUAACUGCAUAGAGGCGGUGGAAACUGGAUAGCUUGAGUAUGGUAGGGGUAGAGGGAAUUCCCGGUGUAGCGGUGAAAUGCGUAGAUAUCGGGAAGAACACCAGUGGCGAAGGCGCUCUACUGGGCCAUAACUGACGCUGAUG